Molecule: ribosomal RNA, 499 nt
Filed under: uncultured bacterium
Lineage: Bacteria
Description: partial 16S ribosomal RNA
Rfam family: Bacterial small subunit ribosomal RNA
Source: RNAcentral
GACGAACGCUGGCGGCGUGCUUAACACAUGCAAGUCGAACGGGCCCGCCCCUGUUUUUGGGGGUGGGUUGAGUGGCGAACGGGUGAGUAUCACGUGAGUAACCUGCCCCCUGCUCCUGGAUAACUGCUUGAAAGGGCGGCUAAUACGGGGUGUGCCGGCUGGUCCGCAUGGGCCUGGUCGGGAUAGUUUCAUCUUCGGGUGUUUCGGUGGGGGAUGGGCUCGCGGCCUAUCAGCUUGUUGGUGGGGUGAUGGCCCACCAAGGCGGUGACGGGUAGCCGGCCUGAGAGGGUGGGCGGCCACACUGGGACUGAGACACGGCCCAGACUCCUGCGGGAGGCAGCAGUGGGGGGGAUUGCACAAUGGGCGGAAGCCUGAUGCAGCGACGUCGCGUGAGGGAUGGAGGCCUUCGGGUUGUGAACCUCUUUCUCCGGUGGGGAAGGCCCUGUCCGGUGCGGCGGGGUUGACGGUAGCCGGGUAUGAAGCGCCGGCUAACUACGUG